GUGGGGAAUUUUGGACAAUGGGCGCAAGCCUGAUCCAGCCAUGCCGCGUGAGUGAAGAAGGCCUUCGGGUUGUAAAGCUCUUUCAGACGGAAAGAAAUCUCUCAGGAUAAUACCUUGGGAGGAUGACGGUACCGUAAGAAGAAGCACCGGCUAACUACGUGCCAGCAGCCGCGGUAAUACGUAGGGUGCGAGCGUUAAUCGGAAUUACUGGGCGUAAAGCGUGCGCAGGCGGUGAUGUAAGACAGAUGUGAAAUCCCCGGGCUCAACCUGGGAACUGCGUUUGUGACUGCAUCACUCGAGUACGGCAGAGGGAGGUGGAAUUCCGCGUGUAGCAGUGAAAUGCGUAGAUAUGCGGAGGAACACCGAUGGCGAAGGCAGCCUCCUGGGCCAGUACUGACGCUCAUGCACGAAAGCGUGGGGAGCAAACAGGAUUAGAUACCCCGGUAGUCC
Molecule: ribosomal RNA, 450 nt
Filed under: uncultured Zoogloea sp.
Lineage: Bacteria; Pseudomonadati; Pseudomonadota; Betaproteobacteria; Rhodocyclales; Zoogloeaceae
Description: bacterial SSU rRNA
Rfam family: Bacterial small subunit ribosomal RNA
Source: RNAcentral